Seriola aureovittata is the source of this 314-nucleotide long non-coding RNA. RefSeq lists it as uncharacterized. NCBI's taxonomy places the organism in Eukaryota, Metazoa, Chordata, Actinopteri, Carangiformes, Carangidae. The transcript is spliced from 3 exons. The record is from RefSeq and is a predicted model, not a curated record.
CUCUUGCUCUGGACUGGGACACCAACAAAAUCAACACUAUUGCUAGUUUUUGAAAAAAGACCAGCACAUUUUAUUGUGUAUUUAAAGGAGCUGACGUUGGAGCCAAAGCCAAAAUUUUAAAAUCACAAGCUCAUCAUUUCCCAGGAGGAUUAUGUCCACAAGAAUUUGCUCCUGGGAAUGUCCUGAAUCAGACCAGCCUUUGCUCCUGACCCGCGGCCACAGAAAAACACUUUCUCUGUGCCACCACACAAAAGGUGCAGUCAGUGUGUUUGUGGGUAAGUACCAUGGAUUAACGAGAGAUUAGCUACCUAGCA